Molecule: transfer-messenger RNA, 356 nt
Filed under: Planctomyces sp.
Lineage: Bacteria; Pseudomonadati; Planctomycetota; Planctomycetia; Planctomycetales; Planctomycetaceae
Also listed under: 1 other name
Rfam family: transfer-messenger RNA
About the family: Bacterial tmRNA, also known as 10Sa RNA or SsrA, is named for its dual tRNA and mRNA-like properties.
Source: RNAcentral
GGGGCCGAAAUGGUUUCGACCGAGCAUGUGAGGCACGUCGUGGCGCGUCCUGGAGCCUGCAGGCCAGGUAAAAAGCAGGCAAAACAAGAGUUGCCAACAGCAACUUCGCUCUCGCGGCCUAAUUAGGUCCGCAGGAACCCCCGGCCUCGGCCCGAAGGCUGGAAGGUUCCCAGAUUCUCGGGCUGGCUCGGCGGCGGUGUCCCGGGGACCCGAGCGAGAUCUCACUGGGACAUAGGGGUCAUGCCCAAGCCCACCGUCGGGCGUGGCGGCCCCGAAAUUCAAUGCGACGGACACACGCGUAGAGGCGACGUGCCGACUGCUCUGGGACGGGGGUUCGAUUCCCCCCGGCUCCAUUC